AUGUGCAUGUAUGGUCGUCACACGGAAUAUGAGAGGGUCGUGAGCUUCCUGCUACAGGUUGGCCCCCCUGGCACAGCAAAUUUCAGCCUUCUUCCGGUAGUCGAACCCGCAAGGGUUGGAAAGAGCACCCUCGUUGAGCAUGUUUGCUAUGACGACAGGGUGCGCGGCUACUUCUCCUCGAUUGUGUUCCUCGGCGGGGAUGAUCUCCAACUCCAAGGCGCGGAAGCGAAUGCUCUACAAGACAGUGGUGUUAUCAAGUACAGAAACGGCGCUUCACAUGGGAGGCUGCUGGUUGCUGCCGAACUGAUUGGGGAUCUGGAAAAGGAAAUAUGGACAAGGAUGUGGCUUUUGCUAAGCCAUAUGGCGCACGGAAGCAAAGUCGUGGUUACAAGCAGGUCAGAGAGGAUCAUGCGGCUUGGAACAACCCAGGCGCUCAGACUGAAUGCUUUGCCCCACGAAGCUUACUGGUACUUCUUCAAGAUGAUUGCGUUCAGAGAUGCUGGCCCAGAGGACUAUUCAGAGCUAUCAUCCAUAGCUAUGGCGAUUGCAGCUGAGCUCAACACUUCUUUCAUCAAUGCAAACAUAAUCGGCAACCUGUUGAGAGCAAGCCUCAGUGCCCGGUUUUGGUGCAAGGCUCUCGAGCGCAUCAGAGAGUUCACCACCAAGCAUGUGCUCAUGUUUGGCGAGCAUCCAGUCGAUCUGAUGCGGAAAGGGCGGCCUAUAUACCUCUGGAGGAUGGCAGGUGGCGGUUCCGAAGUCCUUGUGGCCAAUGGUGUUCAUCAGGUGUGCUCUCCUCAGCAAGAGGUUCCGAAGCUAACAUUGCUGGAUUUCGUAUCUGGAAGUGCUAUACCGCGUGGAAAUUGUAAGUUCCUGGCGUGGAAGUGA
This 885-nucleotide ribosomal RNA is filed under the name Triticum aestivum (bread wheat). RNAcentral describes it as "partial small subunit ribosomal RNA". Lineage: Eukaryota; Viridiplantae; Streptophyta; Magnoliopsida; Poales; Poaceae. The record is from RNAcentral.